UACGGGGGGAGCAAGCGUUAUUCGGAAUUAUUGGGCGUAAAGGGCGCGUAGGUGGCGGGACAAGCGUGCGGUGAAAGCUCGGGGCUCAACCCCGAGUCGGCCGUGCGAACUGUUUUGCUGGAGCACUGUAGAGGCAGGCGGAAUUCCGGGUGUAGCGGUGGAAUGCGUAGAGAUCCGGAAGAACACCGGUGGCGAAGGCGGCCUGCUGGGCAGUUGCUGACACUGAGGCGCGAAAGCGUGGGGAGCAAACAGG
RNAcentral lists this ribosomal RNA (253 nucleotides) under uncultured bacterium. Its description in RNAcentral is "partial 16S ribosomal RNA". It matches the Rfam family "Bacterial small subunit ribosomal RNA", at positions 524 to 776 of the family's 1533-position model. The record is from RNAcentral.